This 253-nucleotide ribosomal RNA is filed under the name uncultured bacterium. RNAcentral describes it as "partial 16S ribosomal RNA". It matches the Rfam family "Bacterial small subunit ribosomal RNA", at positions 524 to 776 of the family's 1533-position model. The record is from RNAcentral.
UACGUAGGGUGCAAGCGUUGUCCGGAAUUAUUGGGCGUAAAGAGCCCGUAGGCGGUUUGUCGCGUCUGCUGUGAAAACUCGGGGCUUAACUCCGAAACUGCAUUCGAUACUACCGUGCUUGAGGACUGGAGAGGAGACUGGAAUUUACGGUGUAGCGGUGAAAUGCGUAGAUAUCGUAAGGAAGACCAGUGGCGAAGGCGGGUCUCUGGACAGUUCCUGACGCUGAGGCACGAGGGCCAGGGGAGCAAACGGG